This 75-nucleotide transfer RNA is filed under the name Rickettsia endosymbiont of Ixodes persulcatus. RNAcentral describes it as "tRNA-Gly". It matches the Rfam family "tRNA". Rfam says of the family: Transfer RNA (tRNA) molecules are approximately 80 nucleotides in length. Their secondary structure includes four short double-helical elements and three loops (D, anti-codon, and T loops). Lineage: Bacteria; Pseudomonadati; Pseudomonadota; Alphaproteobacteria; Rickettsiales; Rickettsiaceae. The record is from RNAcentral.
GCGGGUGUAGCUCAGGGGUAGAGCGCUACCUUGCCAAGGUCGAAGUCAAGGGUUCGAAUCCCUUCACCCGCUCCA